CUCCUGCGCCCGCCUCAUUUUUCAUCUCACAAUCCCUCCAAACUCUCCCUCACCCACGAUCAAACUCAGACUCAGUCGACAGGCACCCUCGAUCUCCUCAGUCUUCCUUGUCGAUCGUCGUCGCCAGUCAGUCAUGCUCUCAUCGAAAACCCACAAUCCAUGCUCUCGCCUCCUUCUUGUCCCAUCGGACGUCAGUCGUGCCAUGGGCCGUAUUUUUGUCCCAUUUUUGCUGUUGUCUUCCUCAUAUCCAAGGGUGCAUGGAGGCAGCCAACAUCGAGCAAGUAUCCUUCAAAACUGAACUCUUGUCUUAGCCGGAUUUUUAUUUAAGCCUAGACAUUGGAGAUGUAUUCUUUAUUUGUGAUGCGUCGAUCCUCAUUACUCACCUUCAUUUUAAUGUACCAACUAUGAGGUGCAUGGAAGCAGCUAGCAUCGAGCAAGUAUCAUUCUCGACAGCUGGCCUGAGUGUGUUGGGUCCCUCACAAUACAUAUACUAGCCCAACACAACAAUUAUACCAGUGAUGAAUGCUAGCACUGAUGCAUCUUUAGAGGAAAAUCCCAUCUCCAAUAAUAGCUUGGGCGAGUCCUCUUCUUCUGGCAUCUUGGUUGCCAACUACUCUACACAGAAUGGAGGGAGGACGACUUCUUCUUCACUGCACCAAAUGUUUCCUUCCACACAUUCGAUAGAUGGCUCAACGUGGGCGUUCUUUGAUUUUCAUUUGAGUGACAUAACUUCUUCUUCCUCUUCUAAAUCGACAAGGUUGGCCUCAAGUAUGGCCACCUUACCUCCAUUCCUUUCUACAAUAAUCCUUUUCUUCAAGGGCUUUGUGGCUAAACUUUCACCCUUUUGCUUCGCUUUCUUCUUUUUAAAAGCUGUGAACAACCUCUUCACAGGCCCAUCAUUAGAGCUGAUAGGGCUUGGCUUACUAAAUACAAGCUCUUCAAGGCCACCCAUGGUAGGGAUAGACCCAAGUGGCAAAAUUGAAGGGACUGAAAUUCUCUACAACGGAAGCAAUUAGAUAUAGUUGUUUCUAAAUUUCUUUUUACAAAAUAUAUAAAGUAAUCCAAAGUGACAGAAACACAAGGAUAACCAUAAUUAAUCUAAGCAUGCUUGUACUAUGAUGAAAAUAGAUAAGAGGGAUAGGAUAUUACAUACCCUUGAAGACACCAUCUUCUUGCUUCCUUUAUAUAGCAUGAACAUGAACUGCUUCUUUCGAUCUUUCGAACUCGGCACCAUGAAUGCAGCGACAACAACAAGGAAAAGGAUGCCACCACGAGAUCUUCCUCUUUAUUCUUAAGGUGAGAAUUACAGCGGAGUUUUGUGGGCUCACUUGGAAUAAUUUUGGCGAAGGGAGAUCUUUGUUUAAAAGAGAUUUCUGAGAGAGGAAGAAAUACACAAAGAGAGAUUGAGAGGAUG
Benincasa hispida (wax gourd) is the source of this 1414-nucleotide RNA transcript. RefSeq lists it as uncharacterized. The record is from RefSeq and is a predicted model, not a curated record. NCBI's taxonomy places the organism in Eukaryota, Viridiplantae, Streptophyta, Magnoliopsida, Cucurbitales, Cucurbitaceae.